Cavia porcellus (domestic guinea pig) is the source of this 71-nucleotide transfer RNA. It matches the Rfam family "tRNA". Rfam says of the family: Transfer RNA (tRNA) molecules are approximately 80 nucleotides in length. Their secondary structure includes four short double-helical elements and three loops (D, anti-codon, and T loops). Lineage: Eukaryota; Metazoa; Chordata; Mammalia; Rodentia; Caviidae. The record is from Rfam.
GGGGAUUUAGCUCAGCGGCAUAAGCGCCUGCCUUGCAAGCAGGCGGUGGUAAGUUCGAUCCUCGGCCCCCA